GAAUACGUUAACAUAAGGUUAGUAAUAAUUUUGUUUAUAAUUUUCAUUAGUCAAUAUUAAAAUCUUUGAAUUUUUUUUAAUUUUGUUAAAAUCAUAUGAUAUUUUAUAAUUGAUCAAUUUAUUUUUAGUAAAAAUGCGGGUAACGGGUACGGGUAUGGGUACUUAGGUACCCAUAGGGUAUGGGGACGGAGGCAAAAGUUGUAACCCACGUGGGUAUGGGGAUGGAUACAGGUAUUUUUUUCUAUCCGCGGAUAUGGGGAUGGGUACUAUAGUACCUUACCCAUAAGCCAUACCCUAUUGUCAUCCCAACAAAUAACUGCUGUUCUUAAUAGGAUUAGCACCAAUUACAUGUACAAAAGCGCAAGCCUCUCUCUGUUUUGCCUCUGCGCGUAGUCCCUGGGAAGUACUAGUAUAAUAAUCAACAUGGAAAGGCACACUUUAAACUGAAGUGCUCACCAUAGUCAAAAGAUCCUUUGGAAGAUCUAAGAAGGUUUCUUUAAACUUUCCAAGCACUGGAAUAGGUGCCUCACAAGAUUUACAACCU
This 544-nucleotide long non-coding RNA is filed under the name Trifolium pratense (red clover). RNAcentral describes it as "long non-coding RNA (TPRA_LNC011695)". The record is from RNAcentral. Lineage: Eukaryota; Viridiplantae; Streptophyta; Magnoliopsida; Fabales; Fabaceae.